CUUUCUGUGCCAUAUUGUUUCACUUCAAGUUGAAGCCUGUGUAUGAACUUUGUGUGCCAUAUACUUACCUACUACCCACCUGAUGGCUACAUGGGUGUAAACAAAUAAAAUAAAUAAAUAAAUAAACUCAAAUUGUCAACUUGUUGACCACAUCUGGUUGAAGCCACCAGAGUAAACAAUCAUCACCAUAUACGGCCACCCAAGGGUGAUGAAAAAACUCAAACUGAGGUAAGGGCAAAG
Molecule: long non-coding RNA, 240 nt
Filed under: Prunus persica (peach)
Lineage: Eukaryota; Viridiplantae; Streptophyta; Magnoliopsida; Rosales; Rosaceae
Description: long non-coding RNA (PPER_LNC001167)
Source: RNAcentral